GAUGAAGAACGUAGCGAAAUGCGAUAAGUAAUGUGAAUUGCAGAAUUCAGUGAAUCAUCGAAUCUUUAACGCACAUUGCGCCCCUUGGUAUUCCGAGGGGCAUGCCUGUUCGAGCGUCAUUAUAACCCCUCAAGCUCAGCUUGGUGUUGGGGCCUGCUGCACUGGCAGCCCUUAAAAUCAGUGGCGGCGCCAUCUGGCUCUAAGCGUAGUAAUUCUUCUCGCUAUGGAGUCCUGGUGGAUGCUUGCCAUCAACCCCCAAUUUUUCUAUGGUUGACCUCGGAUCAGGUAGGGAUACCCGCUGAACUUAAGCAUAUCAAUAAGCGGAGGA
This 328-nucleotide unclassified non-coding RNA is filed under the name soil metagenome. RNAcentral's name for it is "partial contains 5.8S ribosomal RNA, internal transcribed spacer 2, and large subunit ribosomal RNA". The stretch from base 1 to 119 matches the Rfam family "5.8S ribosomal RNA", at positions 35 to 154 of the family's 154-position model. The record is from RNAcentral.